GCUUAUUAACGGCGACUGACGCGGCAACAGCUCAAAUUUNAAAUCUGGCGUCCAUGGCCGCCCGAUUUUAUUUGCAGAGGAUGCUUUUGGCGAAGGGCCUUCCGAGUUCCCUGGAACGGGACUCCAUAAAGGGUGAGAGCCCCGUACGGUCUGGUGCCGANCCGCUGUAAAGCUCCUUCGACGAGUCCAGUAUUUUGGGAAUGCUGCUCUAAAUGGGAGGUAAACUCCUUCUAAAGCUAAAUAUUGGCCAUAGACCGAUAGCGCACAAGUAGAGUGAUCGAAAGAUGAAAAGCACUUUGAAAAGAGAGUUAAAUAGCACGUGAAAUUGUUGAAAGGGAAGCGCUUAUGACCAGACUUGGGCUUGGUGGNUCANCCGUCCUUUUGGGCGGUGCAUUCUGCCAGUUCAGGCCAGCAUCAGUUGCUGGUCGGGGAGAAAAAUACCGGGAAUGCGGCUCCUCGGAGCGUUAUAUCCCGCUAUCAUGCCCUCCCAACGACUGAGGUUAGCCGUUCUUCACGGAUGCUGGCGUAAUGGUCAUCAACGACCCGUCUUGAAACACGGACCAAGGAGUCGUCCUGCUAUGCCAGUGUUUGGGUGCAAAACCCCUUCCCGAAAUGAAAGUGAACGGAGGUGAGAGCUUCGGCGCAUCAUCGACCGAUCCUGAUGUUUUCGGAUGGAUCUGAGUAAAAGCAUACCGGGCCCGGUCCCUAAAUAGGGGAACUAUGCUCGGAUAGGGCAAAACCCUAGGAAACUCUGGUGGAC
This 760-nucleotide ribosomal RNA is filed under the name Halosarpheia marina. RNAcentral describes it as "eukaryotic LSU rRNA". It matches the Rfam family "Eukaryotic large subunit ribosomal RNA", at positions 78 to 872 of the family's 3401-position model. Lineage: Eukaryota; Fungi; Ascomycota; Sordariomycetes; Microascales; Halosphaeriaceae. The record is from RNAcentral.